RNAcentral lists this ribosomal RNA (859 nucleotides) under Geoscypha tenacella. Its description in RNAcentral is "partial large subunit ribosomal RNA". It matches the Rfam family "Eukaryotic large subunit ribosomal RNA", at positions 51 to 926 of the family's 3401-position model. Lineage: Eukaryota; Fungi; Ascomycota; Pezizomycetes; Pezizales; Pezizaceae. The record is from RNAcentral.
CGGAGGAAAAGAAACCAACAGGGAUUGCCUCAGUAACGGCGAGUGAAGCGGCAAAAGCUCAGAUUUGAAAUCUGGCGUCAUUUUGGCGUCCGAGUUGUAAUCUGUAGAGGAGUAUUCGAGUGUGGAUUUGGCUUAAGUUCCUUGGAACAGGACGUCAUAGAGGGUGAGAACCCCGUUAACGGCCUAUGUCUUAUGCUCAUGUGAAUCUCCUUCAACGAGUCGAGUUGUUUGGGAAUGCAGCUCUAAAUGGGUGGUAAAUUCCAUCUAAAGCUAAAUACUGGCAAGAGACCGAUAGCGCACAAGUAGAGUGAUCGAAAGAUGAAAAGAACUCUGAACAGAGAGUUAAAUAGUACGUGAAAUUGUUGAAAGGGAAGCACUUGCUACCAGACACGCCUGUAGUUGAUCAACCUUCAUUUUUGAUGGUGCACUCGGCUAUAGGUGGGUCAGCAUCAGUUACAACGGUGGGAUAAAGGCCUUGGGAAUGUAGCUUCCUUCGGGAAGUGUUAUAGCCCUUGGUGUAAUACCAUCUGAUGUGACUGAGGCCCGCGCUUCGGCGAGGAUGCUGGCAUAAUGGUCGUAAGUGACCCGUCUUGAAACACGGACCAAGGAGUCUAACAUCUAUGCGAGUGUUUGGGCGUCAAAACCCUUACGCGGAAUGAAAGUGAAUGAAGGUGGGAACCGCAAGGUGCACCAUCGACCGAUCCUGAUGUUUUCGGAUGGAUUUGAGUAGGAGCAUAGCUGUUGGGACCCGAAAGAUGGUGAACUAUGCCUGAAUAGGGUGAAGCCAGAGGAAACUCUGGUGGAGGCUCGCAGCGGUUCUGACGUGCAAAUCGAUCGUCAAAUUUGGGUAUAGGGGCGA